RNAcentral lists this ribosomal RNA (2972 nucleotides) under human gut metagenome. RNAcentral describes it as "bacterial LSU rRNA". It matches the Rfam family "Bacterial large subunit ribosomal RNA". The record is from RNAcentral.
GCAAGAUACCACGGGCGCACGGCGGAUGCCUUGGCACAGGGAGCCGAUGAAGGACGCGGCAAGCUGCGAUAAUCCCCGGCGAGGAGCACACAUCCUUCGACCCGGGGGUCUCCGAAUGGGCGAACCCAUCCACAGCAGUGUGGAUAUCCCCACCCCGAACACAUAGGGGCGGGGAGGACAACCCGGGGAACUGAAACAUCUAAGUACCCGGAGGAGAGGAAAUCAAUCUCGAGACUCCCCGAGUAGCGGCGAGCGAAAGGGGACCGAUGGCCAAACCGUCGAGCGGGCAUACCCGGCAGGGGUUCCGCCGACGGGGUUGCAGGGCCGCGCAUCCGGGGGCUGCCGCCCCCGGGCGCAGGUCCGGCUGGGGAGCGGAACGGCAUGGGAGGGCCGGCCGCAGCGGGUGACAGCCCCGUACGCGAACCCAGACCGGACGGCGCGACGCGGUCCCUGAGUAGGGCCGGGCACGUGAAACCCGGUCCGAACCUGGGUGGACCACCAUCCAAGCCUGAGUACUACCCUGUGACCGAUAGCGCACCAGUACCGUGAGGGAAAGGUGAAAAGCACCCCGGGAGGGGAGUGAAACAGUACCUGAAACCGUGCGCCCACGAGCAGUCGGAGCACCUAUAUGGUGUGACGGCGUGCCUUUUGUAGAAUGAGCCAGCGAGUCGCUGGCGCGGGGCGAGGUUAACCGAAAGGGAGCCGGAGCGAAAGCGAGCCUUAACAGGGCGACUUGAGUCCCGCGCCGCGGACGCGAAGCCGGGUGAGCUAUCCGUGGGCAGGCUGAAGCGGGGGUAAGACCCCGUGGAGGGCCGAACGCACGUCGGUUGAAAACGGCGGCGAUGACCUGCGGAUAGGGGUGAAAGGCCAAUCAAACCCGGAGAUAUCUCGUUCUCCCCGAAAUAGCUUUAGGGCUAGCGUCGCGCGUUCACCGCCGGAGGUAGAGCACCGGAUGGACGAGGGGGCUUCGCCGCCUACCGAAUCCAACCGAACUCCGAAUGCCGGCGGCCCAGAGCGCGGCAGUCAGAGCAUGUGGGCUAAGCUGUGUGCUCGAGAGGGAAACAGCCCGGACCGCCCGCUAAGGUCCCCAAGUUCCAGCCGAGUGGCAAAGGAUGUGCGUCCGCCCAGACAACCAGGAUGUUGGCUUAGAAGCAGCCAUCCAUUCAAAGAGUGCGUAACAGCUCACUGGUCGAGUGGACAUGCGCCGACAAUACACGGGGCUAAGCUGGACACCGAAGCGGCGGGAUUUUAUCUAUAUAGAAUCGGUAGGGGAGCUUCCCAUGGGCGGUGAAGCCGCCGGGCGACCGGCGGUGGAGCGCAUGGGAGUGAGAAUGCUGGCAUGAGUAGCGAGAGACGAGAGAGUAACUCGUCCGCCGUGAACCCGAGGUUUCCUGGGCAAGGCUAAUCCUCCCAGGGUCAGUCGGGGGCUAAGGCGAGGCCGGAAGGCGUAGCCGACGCGCAGCAGGCAGACAUUCCUGCACCGCGCACGCGGCGCUACGACCGACGGGGCGACGGAUGGGGGUGGCUCGGCGGGGUUCUGGACGUCCCCGUGAUGGAGCGCGGCCCGCGGACCAGGGAAAUCCGGUCCGCACGAGGGCGAGGCUCCGGACGAAGCGAUCAAGCGAAGCGAGUGAGCCCGAGGUCCCUAGAAAAACCCCUAGGCAGGCGCGUGCGCGCCCGUACCGCAAACCGACACAGGUGGGUGGGUAGAACAUACCGAGGCGAUCGGGUCAACCAUGGUCAAGGAACUCGGCACAAUGGCCCCGUAACUUCGGGAGAAGGGGUGCCCGCGCGUACGUGAACGGACUUGCUCCGGGAGCGGAGGCGGGCCGCAGUGGAGAGGCCCAAGCGACUGUUUACCAAAAACACAGGACUCUGCAGAAGCCGCAAGGCGACGUAUAGGGUCUGACGCCUGCCCGGUGCCGGAAGGUCACGCGGAGGAGUUAGCCGCAAGGCGAAGCCCCGAAGCCAAGCCCCGGUAAACGGCGGCCGUAACUAUAACGGUCCUAAGGUAGCGAAAUUCCUUGUCGGGUAAGUUCCGACCUGCACGAAAGGCGCAACGACUUGGGCGCUGUCUCGACCAUGGACCCGGUGAAAUUGCACUGGUCGUGAAGAUGCGACUUACCCGCGGAAGGACGGAAAGACCCCGUGAACCUUCACUGCAGCUUGGCAUUGGCCGCUGGUCCCGCGUGUAGAGGAUAGGCAGGAGGCACAGAUCCGGAGGCGCCAGCCCCCGGGGAGCCGCCCUUGGAAUACUGCCCUCGCGCGACCGGCGUCCUAACCCGAGGCCGUCAACCGGCUCGGGGACCGUGCCAGGCGGGCAGUUUGACUGGGGCGGUCGCCUCCUAAAGGGUAACGGAGGCGCGCGAAGGUCCGCUCGGGACGGUCGGCAACCGUCCUUUUGAAUGCAAGAGUACAAGCGGGCUUGACUGCGAGGCCCACAAGCCGAGCAGGUGCGAAAGCAGGCUCUAGUGAUCCGGCGGCCCCGAGUGGGUGGGCCGUCGCUCAACGGAUAAAAGGUACUCCGGGGAUAACAGGCUGAUCUUGCCCAAGAGUCCACAUCGACGGCAAGGUUUGGCACCUCGAUGUCGGCUCAUCGCAUCCUGGGGCUGGAGCAGGUCCCAAGGGUACGGCUGUUCGCCGUUUAAAGCGGUACGCGAGCUGGGUUCAGAACGUCGUGAGACAGUUCGGUCCCUAUCCUCCGUGGGCGCAGGAGAAUCGAUGGAGGCUGCCCCCAGUACGAGAGGACCGGGGUGGACGCACCUCCGGUGAACCGGUUGUCGACCAACGGCACGGCCGGGUAGCCGCGUGCGGCGCGGAUAACCGCUGAAGGCAUCUAAGCGGGAAGCCGUUCCAGGGAUUAGUUCUCCUUCCGGUAAGGGCCCAGGUAGACUACCUGGUCGAUAGACGGCAGGUGCAAGGCUGGCGACAGCCUCAGCCGAGCCGCACUAAUCGCCCGAGCUCUUCCGGAA